RNAcentral lists this ribosomal RNA (468 nucleotides) under uncultured bacterium. Its description in RNAcentral is "partial 16S ribosomal RNA". It matches the Rfam family "Bacterial small subunit ribosomal RNA", at positions 28 to 507 of the family's 1533-position model. The record is from RNAcentral.
GACGAACGCUGGCGGCGUGCUUAACACAUGCAAGUCGAACGGAAAGGCCCUGCUUUUGUGGGGUGCUCGAGUGGCGAACGGGUGAGUAACACGUGAGUAACCUGCCCUUGACUUUGGGAUAACUUCAGGAAACUAGGGCUAAUACCGCAUAGGAGCUCCUGCUGCAUGGUGGGUGUUGGAAAGUUUCGGCGGUUGGGGAUGGACUUGCGGCUUAUCAGCUUGUUGGUGGGGUAGUGGCUUACCAAGGCUUUGACGGGUAGCCGGCCUGGGAGGGUGACCGGCCACAUUGGGACAGGGAUGCGGCCCAGACUCCUACGGGAGGCAGCGGUGGGGAAUAUUGCAAAAUGGGCGGAAGCCGGAUGCAGCAACGCCGCGUGCUGGAUGACGGCCUUCGGGUUGUAAACCGCUUUCGACUGUGACGAAGCGUGAGUGACGGUAAUGGGUAAAGAAGCACCGGCUAACUACGUG